Molecule: ribosomal RNA, 253 nt
Filed under: uncultured bacterium
Lineage: Bacteria
Description: partial 16S ribosomal RNA
Rfam family: Bacterial small subunit ribosomal RNA
Source: RNAcentral
UACGAAGGGUGCAAGCGUUACUCGGAAUCACUGGGCGUAAAGCGUGCGUAGGCGGUUUCUUAAGUCUGUCGUGAAAGCCCUGGGCUCAACCUGGGAAUGGCAUUGGAAACUGGCGACCUAGAGUGCGGUAGAGGGUAGUGGAAUUCCCGGUGUAGCAGUGAAAUGCGUAGAGAUCGGGAGGAACAUCCGUGGCGAAGGCGACUACCUGGACCAGCACUGACACUGAGGCACGAAAGCGUGGGGAGCAAACAGG